UCAAACUUGGUCAUUUAGAGGAAGUAAAAGUCGUAACAAGGUUUCCGUAGGUGAACCUGCGGAAGGAUCAUUAGCGAGGAUGAACGAGAGCACACUGCGAACGGGGGAUGUUUAGCAGCGGACGAGGCGGGAUGUGGGUGGCUGUUGCGGUCUGCACUUGUGCUCGCUGCGAUAAGCACCCCGCACCCACACACACCGCGCCCGCUGCCCAAUCAACACCAACUCACACCACACACCAACACACACAUUAACUACACAACUUUUAGCAAUGGAUCUCUAGGCUCCCGCAUCGAUGAAGAACGCAGC
Molecule: unclassified non-coding RNA, 306 nt
Filed under: uncultured fungus
Lineage: Eukaryota; Fungi
Description: partial contains small subunit ribosomal RNA, internal transcribed spacer 1, and 5.8S ribosomal RNA
Rfam family: Eukaryotic small subunit ribosomal RNA (bases 1-73)
Source: RNAcentral